AUUAGAUUCAACUUUAUUUACUUAGUAGGUUCAAUUGUCACUGGGAUGAAGAGCAAGAGUUCAGUAGGGUGACAGCCACAGGAAGGAAGCUUCCUCUGAACCUGCUGGUAUGGCUGCGGAGAGACCUGAGCCACC
Molecule: long non-coding RNA, 135 nt
Organism: Etheostoma cragini (Arkansas darter)
Lineage: Eukaryota; Metazoa; Chordata; Actinopteri; Perciformes; Percidae
Exons: 3
Source: RefSeq, a predicted model, not a curated record